Molecule: long non-coding RNA, 701 nt
Organism: Mus musculus (house mouse)
Lineage: Eukaryota; Metazoa; Chordata; Mammalia; Rodentia; Muridae
Product: predicted gene, 51584
Exons: 3
Source: RefSeq, a predicted model, not a curated record
ACGACUGUUCAGCAGCACACACAAAGGACAGUUCAACCACUCAUAACUCCAUCCCUAGGAGAUGCAACAGCUUCUUCCUCCUGGCUUCUAGACCAUGAGCAGCAGGAAGUGAAAGGAAGACAGAGAGACAGACAUCCUAGCAACACCCCAACAAUGUAACCAGCUACAAACUCCGGCCUUGGAGACCUGGCCAUGGGUGCAUCUUGCCUGCGACUCAGCUCCUCUCUUCCCAUUGCUUCUCUUACCCCUCAGUCUCCACUCAGCAGCCAAUCUUAGCAUUUGAAAAUUCAUAUUACUCAUGCAUACCGACUUCCAAAUUCCUGAGAGUGAAAACCCCAAUCCUCUCUCUGGACACCAGGUCCUACGUGACCAGCCCUGACAUCUCCCUCCGUCUUGUGUCCUAGCUCCUUCCUGCCGGCCACUGCCUCUGAUCACAUGUGUAUCAAGGCUUGUCAAGGCUGCAAAUACGGUGUCCCCACUGCCUGGGAUGUAGUUCCCUGCCCUUCACAAACUUAUAAAGACAGACUCUCCCUGUUGUCCUUCGGGAAUCACCAGGCCUUCUCUGAUCAUGCCUAUUGUCACUUGUGUCUCAGCUCCAGCCACUUACCGUAACUCAGUGAAAAGAAACUUGCUAUUGGUUACAUUCAUGUAUUAAUUGUUUUGCUUAGGGUUUGUUGUUUUGUUUUGUUUUGGGGGCAGGA